RNAcentral lists this non-coding RNA (27 nucleotides) under Homo sapiens (human). Lineage: Eukaryota; Metazoa; Chordata; Mammalia; Primates; Hominidae. The record is from RNAcentral.
AGCAAUACUUUUGCAUGGUUCCAAAUU